RNAcentral lists this ribosomal RNA (394 nucleotides) under uncultured bacterium. RNAcentral's name for it is "partial 16S ribosomal RNA". It matches the Rfam family "Bacterial small subunit ribosomal RNA", at positions 523 to 918 of the family's 1533-position model. The record is from RNAcentral.
AUACGGAGGAUGCAAGCGUUAUCCGGAUUUAUUGGGUUUAAAGGGUGCGUAGGCGGAUGAUUAAGCGUGAGGUGAAAUGCCACUACUCAACAGUGGAACUGCCUCGCGAACUGGUUGUCUUGAAUGCUCCUGCCGUGGGAGGAAUGUGUGGUGUAGCGGUGAAAUGCAUAGAGAUCACACAGAACACCGAUUGCGAAGGCAUCUCACGAAGGGGUGAUUGACGCUGAGGCACGAAAGCGUGGGGAUCAAACAGGAUUAGAUACCCUGGUAGUCCACGCAGUAAACGAUGAUAACUAACCGCUGGGUCGUAGUGAUUCAGUGGCCAAGCGAAAGCUAUAAGUUAUCCACCUGGGGAGUACGACCGCAAGGUUGAAACUCAAAGGAAUUGACGGGG